GUUUCCUUCCGGAGUCUUAAACAGCUUCUCUCCAGGAUGGAGUAUAGUGAUCUGGAGGGAUUUACUGGACAGCAGACAACAAGUGCCUGCCUCUUCUUUUGUUUGACUAUUUGUUUUGUUGUUUUGCUUUUAUUGUUGUUUAUUUUUGCCUUCCGCUUGUGGUCUUGUUUUGUUGUUCUGACUGGCCCAGGACUCGUAAUAAUUCGUUGCCUCAGCCUGCUGAGUGCUGAGAAUACAGGCGUGAGCAAACUUGCCCCUUCCGAGGGGGCUCAGAAAAUGUUCCUGAGAGCUUUGCAGAGAGUAGGCAUUCAGUCUGAGCUAAUUGCUUGUUCGUUGCUCUUAGAAAUGAACACAGUCUGCUGGCAAAUGAGACUAUUCUGCUCAUUUCACAUAAUAUUAACACAACCGAUAGGGAAUCUGUGCUAUAACUAUGGAGCACGACAACGGGAAAGAACUUGAUAAGUCUUCUUAUCACAUCAAAGGAAGAGGCCAGUCUUAUAGCACGAAAGGAAGUUGACCAUGUACUCGGGGAGACCGUCUGACCUGCUCUCCAGUCCUAGCCGGUCCGAUCAAGUGUGUGAGCAAGGCUCUGGCAGGCCUCUCCUCUUUCUCUUGUUAAAACCAUAAGAUUUCUAACGCUAGCCCCCAAUGUCUACUCCCUUGUUUUUCCACAUCCUCCUCCUGAGGCUGACUACCAAACUCUGGCCAUCAAAUUAUUGAAACCCUGCACUCAAAAGACUCUUUUGGCUCACCUAAUUAAUAAGCCCUAUCAGAACCAAGCACUUCACCUUAAGGUUCUGCAGUAUCUAUCAGUAUUCCAGUACUCCUCGUGAACAGAGGGAGUCAAGGAGGCAGAGAUAGAAGCCAUGAAGGAAGCAAAACGAUUGGUCGAGAAUUUAGAGUGACACUUUGAAGUACAGAUGACCUGGUUGACCAUUGCUCUUCAUUUUCCCUCCUGUUUAUGUAAGAGUUGCUUUCCCAUCAUCCCCUAACCUGUCGAGUGUGCUUCACCCUGGAUUGUACUCCUUGAAUCUUGAUCCUGCUAUCCAUUAAAUAAAACUCGAAAUAUUUCACUUUGAUUAGCCACUAGCAACACAUAUACAGUUAUAAGCCAGACCCAGUACUAGGUGUCAACAAUAUAGUAAUAAAUCAAAUUUGGUCCAUGGCUUGAAAAUGCUACUGAAUCAAGUAUUUAUUAGCAGCAUACGAAAGCACCCAAUAAAAGUGUUCCGUGAGCUACUGUGAUCCAUGAUUACAUGCACAUAAAUCUAUGGUGUUAUUAGAGUGGACAAAAUAUUUCAUGUUAAUAUGUUUAUUGACGAGAUUAGGGGGCAUUCCUUAUUCAUUUUUCAUGUGCACAGCAUUUUACUGUGGCCUUCUGGAGACAAUUUCCUCUUUGUUCAAUACAUUGGUGGAUAAAUGUCAGAUGAUAAAGGGAGUAUUGAUGAUAGAGAGAAAGCAAGGGGGCAGCCAUGGAGAAUGGGGCUAGCCGCUCUCUGCAGUGUAUCAUUGCUGGAAUAUGAAAUCCUUUAUCAUUAAAGGUUCCUACUAUACAGGCUAAA
Molecule: non-coding RNA, 1562 nt
Organism: Rattus norvegicus (Norway rat)
Lineage: Eukaryota; Metazoa; Chordata; Mammalia; Rodentia; Muridae
Source: RefSeq, a predicted model, not a curated record